UCAUUCUAGAAGAAGCUACAGAGAACAAAAUGGGUGAGUAUUUUCCAGUAAGUAUUUUUUUUUUUUUGUCAAUUUUCCAUUUUCAAUUUUGGAUGCACAGUCUACAAUCAUUUCAAAAUUCACACCUAAAUCCCUAAAUAUCGAGUAACAGAAGAGCAAAACAAUAAGAAGCAAAGAUUAAACCUUGACAUAGAGAACAGCAUCAAUCGAAAUGCUGAAGUAGCAAUUGCUACUUUUCCAUGUAAUUUGCUGGCUUGAAAGACCUGAGAUAUGGAGCAUACGAAGAUUAGCCGAAUGACGACCUUGCAAUUGGUGGCUCCAACCUCAAAUUCAUGGCAUUGAAUCACCUUAUUGUAUAAUCCUAUUGCUCGACAUGUAUAUGGGAAGAAAAUUUUUUUGACGAAGAAACUUAUUCAUGCUACUGCUGCCACUAUUACUACUGUUGUUGCUACUAUCUCUAGUUCCUCUAACUCCUCCUAGUUUAUUAUGUAAUGCUAUUGAACCUCCUUUUACUAUGUAUUUUUAAUCAUGUAAAUGUAAUUGUUAUUAGCAUUACCCAUGCUACUGCUACUACAAUUAUUAUUACUACUAUUAAUUCUUCUACUCGUA
Long non-coding RNA from Capsicum annuum, 609 nucleotides. RefSeq lists it as uncharacterized. NCBI's taxonomy places the organism in Eukaryota, Viridiplantae, Streptophyta, Magnoliopsida, Solanales, Solanaceae. The record is from RefSeq and is a predicted model, not a curated record. The transcript has 3 exons.